AAAGAAGAACAAGAAGUCCUGGAAGCGAUUGCUUGGCCCCCACAGAGCCUUGAUCUCAGCAUCAUUGAGUCUGUCAGGGAUUACACGAAGAGACAGAAGAUUUUGAGGCAGUUCUCAGAGAUGUUUGGAACAACGAACCUGCAGAGUUCCUUCAAAAACUGUGUAUUAGUAAAUCUGCCACAGCGCCUGCCAUCUCCUCUGGUGUGCCCGGAGAGCCAUGGAAGGUCAGUUCACUGGAGAGGUACAAAUCUGCCACCAAUCUCACUAAAGCUGCCCAUAAUGUGAUGGUCAAAAAGUCCCCCUGCACAAGAAGGGAGAGCAGCAAAGAGCGGUCUUUAUCACAGGAAGUUUCUGGAUUACUGCACAGAUUUGGAAGAAAUACAGAAGAGCACCAAGAUUCAGGAAGAAUACACAUGAUGAAUGGAUUUAGACAAUAUUUGCUAAUCGCAAUAUUUAGCUUUAAUUUAAAUACAAAGACUCCCAUGGGUUGCCUAUAGGGACAGCAAUUCUGAGGUUGCCUCCUUCUGCAGGGCGGGCCCUUUGCCUGGCUGAUCCCAGAGGAAUUUAGCAGUAGUGCUGACUGUACUGCCCGAUGGAAGGAGAAUCUAUGAAUCUGUAUAUGAAACACAUUCAUCAAAAUUACUGAACAUAAAAUGAGUUCCCCUUUAAAUGCUCCAUGUGUCCUCCAGCUUCAUGGUAAUUGUCUUUGGGUGGGGGCAGAAGAGAAUGGAAUAAACCGCAAUAUUUCCUGGAGCUCGCCACUCAGAGAGCUAAUUGAUGAGAAUUGUCGUCUCGCUGCAGAAUACGGACUCGGCUCUCUCCCGCCAGAUUGCCUGGUCCUGGAUAUUGUGCAUUUUACAUUGUCUGAUCCCAAAGAGCGUCUGCUGUGUGUCACUCCACAGCGACCAGGAGACCUCUGCAAUAAAGUACACCUGUCAUGAGAAGGACACAGAGGAGGGCUUCAUUCCAAAAAUCCUGACUGUCUCUCCGAUCCAAUGGCUUCAAUGCUUACCUUAUGCUGACUUUGCUUGCUGCACGUUUCCUCCAGAGUUGUGACUUGGAAAGUAAGAAAACCAGAGACAGCCAGGAAACUAGCAUUUUCAAAUAAGGCUUAUAGUAAAUGAAGUCUUUACUUUCA
Rana temporaria (common frog) is the source of this 1138-nucleotide long non-coding RNA. RefSeq lists it as uncharacterized. Lineage: Eukaryota; Metazoa; Chordata; Amphibia; Anura; Ranidae. The transcript has 2 exons. The record is from RefSeq and is a predicted model, not a curated record.